CGCUGGCGGCGUGCCUAAUACAUGCAAGUCGAACGGUCUUUCUAUGGAAGCUUGCUUCCACUGAGAAGAUAGUGGCGAACGGGUGAGUAACACGUGGGUAACCUGCCCAUAAGAGGGGGAUAACAUCCGGAAACGGGUGCUAAUACCGCAUAGUUUUCUUGAUCGCAUGAUCGGGAAAGGAAAGACGGCCUUUGUGCUGUCGCUUAUGGAUGGACCCGCGGCGUAUUAGUUAGUUGGUGAGGUAACGGCUCACCAAGACGAUGAUACGUAGCCGACCUGAGAGGGUGAUCGGCCACAUUGGGACUGAGACACGGCCCAAACUCCUGCGGGAGGCAGCAGUAGGGAAUCUUCCGCAAUGGACGAAAGUCUGACGGAGCAACGCCGCGUGAGUGAAGAAAGGUUUUCGGAUCGUAAAACUCUGUUGUCAGAGAAGAACAAGUUGGAGAGUAACUGCUCCAGCCUUGACGGUAUCUGACCAGAAAGCCACGGCUAACUACGUGCCAGCCGCAGC
RNAcentral lists this ribosomal RNA (511 nucleotides) under uncultured bacterium. RNAcentral describes it as "bacterial SSU rRNA". It matches the Rfam family "Bacterial small subunit ribosomal RNA", at positions 34 to 518 of the family's 1533-position model. The record is from RNAcentral.